Molecule: ribosomal RNA, 253 nt
Filed under: uncultured bacterium
Lineage: Bacteria
Description: partial 16S ribosomal RNA
Rfam family: Bacterial small subunit ribosomal RNA
Source: RNAcentral
UACGUAGGGGGCAAGCGUUGUCCGGAGUUACUGGGCGUAAAGCGCACGCAGGCGGUCUGUUAAGUUUGGAGUGACAGUUGGUGGCUCAACUACCAAAGUGCCUUGAAAACUGACAGACUUGAGGACUUCAGAGGGACACGGAAUUCCGGGUGGAGUGGUGAAAUGCGUAGAGAUCCGGAGGAACACCAAAGGCGAAGGCAGUGUCCUGGGGAGUACCUGACGCUCAGGUGCGAAAGCCAGGGGAGCGAACGGG